CAAGACCAAGUAUGGGUCGACACACCAAGAACUGAGCUUUUCUUUCUUCCCAAACCACAUUAUCCCCUUCAUGGGAGACACCUUUAAGAACACCCAAUCACCAACCUCAAACUCUAACUCCCUACGCCUCAUAUCUGCAUAGGAUUUUUGGCAAUUUUGGGCAGCUUUAAGCCUAUCCAAAAUCACCUUCACCUUCUCCAUCUCUUGGUGAACUAAAUCUAGGCCAAACAUCUCAGCCUUGCAAACUUUAAACCACCUAAUGGAGACCUACA
Molecule: long non-coding RNA, 272 nt
Filed under: Capsicum annuum
Lineage: Eukaryota; Viridiplantae; Streptophyta; Magnoliopsida; Solanales; Solanaceae
Description: long non-coding RNA (CANN_LNC001278)
Source: RNAcentral